Long non-coding RNA from Pyrus x bretschneideri (Chinese white pear), 1619 nucleotides. RefSeq lists it as uncharacterized. The record is from RefSeq and is a predicted model, not a curated record. NCBI's taxonomy places the organism in Eukaryota, Viridiplantae, Streptophyta, Magnoliopsida, Rosales, Rosaceae. The transcript has 3 exons.
UUUAUCCACAUCUUCCACAUCCAUACACUUUAUGGCUUCGUCACCUUCCAGGUGUCGGCCAACACAGCUCGAUUCAGAGUCCUAGUAGACAUCCCAGGUCGGGCCGGGUGUGUCAUUUGCUAUGUCUAUUUUAUUUUAUUUUUGCAACUUCUAACAGUAUGGUCGAUCACGUAAUUGUUUGCUGAUUUAAUAUAGAUAAUAUUGCACGUUUAACAGAUUGGUAUAAAACUUUCAAACCUUUUAAAAUAUUGUCCAAAACUGUAAACCCUUAAAAAAAUUCAAAAGUUAAUCAUCUACUCCCUUUGAAAAUACAUGAACUCAACCUAUGUUCCAAUUUUUUACCAUGUUUGUCUGCACAUAAUAUUUGUGUCGUUAUGUAAAGUAAUUUUAGGUGUUUAAAACACUUGGACAAAAUCAUAUUCACCUAUAUGUUAUUCAACAUAAAAUUACUAUGUGUAUGCACAUUUUAUCCCAUCGUGCUUAGUCAUUUGUCACAGCUCUAGGUUUUACUGAUUCUGCUUUCAUGUACAACCCGACUUGGAAAGGCUAAUCAUAGUUUUUAUACACAGGUACAAAGUCAACUUAGUUCUUGAAGAUGAAACUAAUGAAACAAAUGCUUUGAUACUUGGUAAAUCUGGUGAAAAGUUAUCUGGCACAAGCUGCACAGUUUUAGUGAUGAAUCAAAGAUUGAUGGAUCAACAGCAACUCCCAAAUGAAUUCUUGAGGUUGAUAGGACAAAAGAAAAAAAAUUCAUCUGCGGUUUGGAACUGGGAAAAAUAAUUUGAAUACGAAUGAUCUUCUGAUUUCCAAUGUUUCUGAAGACACAUUCAUGCAAUCAACAACUCCACAGGCCUUGCUAACGGAAAUUACAGUAUCUUCCACAACGGUUUCAUCUUCUACUUCCACACCUGAAACAACUGCCCAAUUGCAUAAACAAAAAAGGGAAUCAGUCAGGUCUCUUUUUAGCAGCAGUGAACAAAGUGACGUGGAAGAAAAUUCAGAAGAAAAUCCAAAAGACUUUGAUGAAGUUCCAAUCAAAUUGUUGAAAAAAAAAAUCAUCACCGAUUAGUACAAAGACAGAUCCUCUUGCUUCAAAAAAGACUUGGUUGCUUUCCCAGUGGUGAAAAUACUUGACCAAAACGUCAGUUGUUCGAGUCAUCAAAUUUACAGUCCUUUCUCAAUAUAUGUAUCAAACAUCUCUAAUAUUUUGGCCAUGUAAAUAGCUCUCUCUAAUCUAGACAGCACAAUAUUUUUUGGUACGUAAAUAAUUCUGUCUAACCUAGGGAGCAUAAUAUUUUUUGCAUGUAAAUAGUCCGGCACUAUACAAUCUUUAGUAUCUAAGUGCUUUGGUGCAGCACAAUGGAUGACUCUAAUAUUUUUUGUAUGUAGAUUACCAAACAUUCUGCAAUCUUUUACCCUACAGAUUGCAUAAACUAAGCAUUUUAUGUAUUAAAAUUUUCGAUCCUUUUGAUUGUAAAUAAUUUUAAUGCUGUUACACUAUUUUUACAUGUUUCAAGCCCAGUGUCUGGUGCAAUUGUUAAUCCUGCAGCAACGCGUGGGCAAAGUUUUCUAGCGAUUUCUAUGUUUGAUUCUCUCCUGUAACAUUACUAUUCCUAUAU